ACGGGUGAGUAAUGCAUAGGAACGUACCUUUAGGUGGGGAACAACUACGGGAAACCGUAGCUAAUACCGCAUGAUCAGGAAACUGCAAAAGUGGCCUCUACUUGUAAGCUACUGCCUAAAGAGCGGCCUAUGUCCCAUUAGCUAGUUGGCGGGGUAAUGGCCCACCAAGGCGACGAUGGGUAGCUGGUCUGAGAGGACGAUCAGCCACACUGGAACUGAGACACGGUCCAGACUCCUACGGGAGGCAGCAGUGGGGAAUAUUGCACAAUGGGCGAAAGCCUGAUGCAGCAAUGCCGCGUGAGUGAAGAAGGCCUUCGGGUCGUAAAGCUCUUUCGAUAGAGAAGAAGUGCAAGCAUGUGAACAAUAUGUUUGUAUGACGGUAUCUGAAGAAGAAGCACCGGCUAACUCUGUGCCAGCAGCCGCGGUAAUACAGAGGGUGCGAGCGUUGUUCGGAAUCACUGGGCGUAAAGAGCACGUAGGCGGGCUUACCAGCCAAUUGUGAAAUCCCCGAGCUCAGCUUGGGAAUUGCAGUUGGAACAGUAAGUCUUGAAUUUCUCAGAGGGUGACGGAAUUCCUGGUGUAGAAGUG
This 588-nucleotide ribosomal RNA is filed under the name uncultured bacterium. RNAcentral's name for it is "bacterial SSU rRNA". It matches the Rfam family "Bacterial small subunit ribosomal RNA", at positions 102 to 683 of the family's 1533-position model. The record is from RNAcentral.